RNAcentral lists this ribosomal RNA (656 nucleotides) under Peribacillus frigoritolerans. RNAcentral's name for it is "bacterial SSU rRNA". It matches the Rfam family "Bacterial small subunit ribosomal RNA", at positions 115 to 758 of the family's 1533-position model. The record is from RNAcentral. Lineage: Bacteria; Bacillati; Bacillota; Bacilli; Caryophanales; Bacillaceae.
ACGUGGGCAACCUGCCUAUAAGACUGGGAUAACUUCGGGAAACCGGAGCUAAUACCGGAUACGUUCUUUUCUCGCAUGAGAGAAGAUGGAAAGACGGUUUACGCUGUCACUUAUAGAUGGGCCCGCGGCGCAUUAGCUAGUUGGUGAGGUAAUGGCUCACCAAGGCGACGAUGCGUAGCCGACCUGAGAGGGUGAUCGGCCACACUGGGACUGAGACACGGCCCAGACUCCUACGGGAGGCAGCAGUAGGGAAUCUUCCGCAAUGGACGAAAGUCUGACGGAGCAACGCCGCGUGAACGAAGAAGGCCUUCGGGUCGUAAAGUUCUGUUGUUAGGGAAGAACAAGUACCAGAGUAACUGCUGGUACCUUGACGGUACCUAACCAGAAAGCCACGGCUAACUACGUGCCAGCAGCCGCGGUAAUACGUAGGUGGCAAGCGUUGUCCGGAAUUAUUGGGCGUAAAGCGCGCGCAGGUGGUUCCUUAAGUCUGAUGUGAAAGCCCACGGCUCAACCGUGGAGGGUCAUUGGAAACUGGGGAACUUGAGUGCAGAAGAGGAAAGUGGAAUUCCAAGUGUAGCGGUGAAAUGCGUAGAGAUUUGGAGGAACACCAGUGGCGAGGCGACUUUCUGGUCUGUAACUGACACUGAGGCGCGAAA